Sebastes umbrosus (honeycomb rockfish) is the source of this 354-nucleotide long non-coding RNA. RefSeq lists it as uncharacterized. NCBI's taxonomy places the organism in Eukaryota, Metazoa, Chordata, Actinopteri, Perciformes, Sebastidae. The transcript is spliced from 2 exons. The record is from RefSeq and is a predicted model, not a curated record.
AGAUAAGUGUGUCUUCCUGCCCUUCUGUUGGCGUGGUAACCCCUGAUUGCAGCGUCCAGGUGAAUUGAAAACCCUCCACAGCUGCCGAGUCCAAUGCAUGCUGGGACAUCCUCCAGCGAAGCACGUGUGGCAGGGCAAAGCUUUGCCUCCUCUGACCCUGAUGGAGGAGCAAGUUGGGGUCGUAACCCAGGCAACAGCCUCUGACCCCGGGUCAGCCUUCAUUGCCACGGCGACCCGGUACUUACAGGCGAACAAUAGGCCUGUGAUGGUGUGAUGGGUGCCCUGCAGGGAGAAAAUCAAGUUAAGUUCAGAAUGAAAAAAAGUGUUUAAAAUGUACACAGCUGGUUGUUAAAA